This 29-nucleotide non-coding RNA is filed under the name Rattus norvegicus (Norway rat). Lineage: Eukaryota; Metazoa; Chordata; Mammalia; Rodentia; Muridae. The record is from RNAcentral.
UGGUUUAGAGCUAGACAUGGUAUGAGGUA